CGUCCAUGAUUGCGGACUGUUUCGGUAAUCAGACAAUUAAUUAUUACGAAUAGUAUUUCAAACUAUUCAAUAAUUCAUUAAUAUUUCUGAAGCAUUCAUUGAUUUAUUCAUUUCUCAAUUUCUUAAUUUAUUGGUUGAUUGAUUGAUUUAUUGAUUUAUUCAUUCAUUUAUAUAUUCAUCCAUUUAUUCAUCCAUCAAGUUCACCAUUUAUUUAUUCAUCGAAUUAUAAAUUCACACGUGAUGCCUAUAUAUUCUCAACGCGAAGCAACCGUUGCGUCUAUGAUUGCAGACUGUUUCACUGUUUUUCGUCUUGGAUACAACGGCAGUUCAGCUUCAGUAUGGCUUCAGCGACAGAAGAGGCGACAUCAGGAGCGACAUGAGGAGCGACAUCAGUAGCAACGCAGGUUCCUCAGAGCGACGAUGGAAAGAGGGAACGGUGAGCAAGCUUUCGAGCACAAUUCAGUUGAACAUUGUUAAAAUCAGUUGCGCUAACUUUUUAUUUGUACUUUGAUCACGCUCUUCCGACUAUUCGUACUAAGAACCGUCGUUAUUAAUAUACUCGCCCGGGUUCUCAACAGCCUUUUGAAAUUCCGAGAGAUGACCUUUCAAUUGAAUUAUAAGCUCUUAAUUUUAUCUUCCGGCAUUU
RNAcentral lists this unclassified non-coding RNA (646 nucleotides) under Athalia rosae (coleseed sawfly). RNAcentral's name for it is "misc RNA ENSAEAG00005007607.1". The record is from RNAcentral. Lineage: Eukaryota; Metazoa; Arthropoda; Insecta; Hymenoptera; Athaliidae.